GCGAGGGUGGCGGAAUUGGCAGACGCCCUGGACUUAGGAUCCAGUGCCGCUAGGCGUGGGGGUUCGACUCCCCCUCCUCGCA
RNAcentral lists this transfer RNA (82 nucleotides) under candidate division CSSED10-310 bacterium. Its description in RNAcentral is "tRNA-Leu". It matches the Rfam family "tRNA". Rfam says of the family: Transfer RNA (tRNA) molecules are approximately 80 nucleotides in length. The record is from RNAcentral. Lineage: Bacteria; candidate division CSSED10-310.